This 2222-nucleotide long non-coding RNA is filed under the name Homo sapiens (human). RNAcentral's name for it is "HSALNT0314982". The record is from RNAcentral. Lineage: Eukaryota; Metazoa; Chordata; Mammalia; Primates; Hominidae.
UUGUGGGUGGUAGCUGGUAUGUUGGUGGAAACUCCAUGCUUCCAUGGAACCAGCUGUAGAGGAGUGGUGAUGCAAUGAGCAUCCUGGAAGUUUAGUUGUCAUUUGUCACCUUUUGGAUAAUGGAGUAGAUUUCUGAAGCUAUUUCUCCUUGUUUGGUGUUCUGCCUGCAAUUUGGACAAGUGGACUUCAGAUUAUGUCUUCGUAGACUGAAAGGCUUGGGACUACUUUGGUUUUCUGGGGGUCCACUUCAGACCCUAGUUGCCUUGGUUUUUCCCAUACCUGGAGAUGUCACCAGUGAAGCCUGGGAAACAGCAAAGAGGGCAGCCUGAUCGUUCAUCUGGAAACUUUGUUCCAGCAUAAGAAGCCUCUCACCCUAAACAUCACAGCUGGGAAUAUGCUGGACCACAACUAAAGCCAGCAUGGCACUGACUCUGACCAAAGGUGAGACCCAGUACUCAUCAAGGAUUAGCUUCCAGGGGUCCUAGCAAGGUGCAUCACAGUGUCAAGAAUGCACUGCAUUCAGAGAAGUUCAAACUAUGGAUUCCCACCAGAGAAGCCUGAAGUGCUCUGAAGGCUGCCAACAAAAUGUCAAGUGAGUCCACUGACAAAAAGGAAGAGAAACCUUGGAAAAACAUUAUUGCUUAUGUUCCAUCUGAAUCUGAGCAGCUGACCUGAGGAAGGAGGGAAGCACAGGGAAGUGGAACAUCAGAGAGGAGAAGCCUGGCUCAACUUGGCAGAGAAGGCAUCUUCAGAGAAGGAGUGCCCACACUGACACCUGAAUGAUGACUAGUGCUUAACCAGAUGAACUGGAUGAGAAAGGCAUUUCAGACACAGGGCAUAGCAUGAACAAGGGUCCAGAGAUGAGGGUGCAAGCAGAGUCCAGGGUGCACAGGGAGUUCAGUACAGCUGGAGCUCAGAUGCUAGGGAGAGGAGUAGGGAGAAAAGAGGCUCCAUUACAAAAAUGUAGGCAUGAGAUCAAAGGGAACCUGGAGUACUAUGCUAAGGGGACUCAAUCCUAGGUGAUGGGGAGGCAUUGAAGGAUUUAGGUGAGAUUGGCAUUUAGGAAGCUCACUUGAAGCAGUGUUGAAUGGGUAGGAGUGGGGUAAGACUGGAGCUGGUGCAGCAAUAUGGGUGAGUGUAGCUGUGUGUGAAAAAAGGUCCGAGUUUAAUGGGAAAACUAAGGAGUGUGGGGUGGGAGGAAACUUGAUGAGAGAGGAUUUCCAAGGAUAAUAUUCUAGAUGUGUGGGUUGAUGACAAUGCUGAGAGCAGGGACAGAGGAAGAGAAGCAGGCUUGCUGGGGGGAAAUGAUGAACUUCUUGAGGUUCUUACCAGACACCUAAGUGGAGAUGCCCUUUGGGUGCCACAUGCGCCCACACUGCUGAUAAGGGAUCUGCAUAGUGGGGGGAGAUUUGGAAGUCAAUGAAGCCACAGAUAGGGAUGAGCUUUUCAAAGAAGAGUGUGUGGAGUGAAAGGGUUAGGGACAUAGAACCAAACCCUGAGACCCACUCCACUGAAGGCAAAGAAGAGGAGGAGUAUACAGAGAACACAAGGAAGAAGUGGUCAAAACGUAGAAGGAAGAUUGGUCUCCAGGGGUGGGGGGGGGGGGUCCUGAAUUUGAGCAUGAUUUUUAGUGCACAAUAGAUCCCACAGAGCUUUCAAGAAACACUUGGUGGUUGGUGAAGACCCAAAUAAUGGUGAGUGUGUUUUACAUUUUAGAGUUCCAGGUAAUUUUCCUUCUUGGUAUCAUCUGGUUAUGGUAUAUAAUUUGGAGGAAAAAACUACUUUCAUUCACUUUUUAUUUUUCCUCAGAAAGACUUGAAGAAAUACAAAACCAUAGGACUUUUGGUAUGUGAUGGAGACAUUCCAUACAAUUAGUACAGAACAUAGACAAAUGGAAAAUAUUGUGUUUUGCUUGAAAUUAUCUCUGUGGACUAAAAUGUAAACCUAGAUUUUGCAUAUGCAUGUGUAUUUAUUAAUGACAUUAUUUAACUCUCAUUCUAGAUAGUUUUGUGUUGAACUCUAUUUAGAUGAGUAGAGACAUACUAAUUAUCUCAGUUAAUUAGCCAAAAUAAAUCUACAUAGUUUAACACAUCAAAGAUUUAUUUUCCACUCAUGGUUUAUAUUUACUAUGGGUCAGUGGGAGUUAUGCUCCACAUGAUUACUCAGGGAUUCACUCUGACAUGGGUCCACCGUAUUUUUUUUUUUUUUUUGAGACAGAGUAU